This 430-nucleotide ribosomal RNA is filed under the name uncultured bacterium. RNAcentral describes it as "partial 16S ribosomal RNA". It matches the Rfam family "Bacterial small subunit ribosomal RNA", at positions 354 to 796 of the family's 1533-position model. The record is from RNAcentral.
GUGGGGAAUAUUGCACAAUGGGCGAAAGCCUGAUGCAGCAACGCCGCGUGAGGGACGACGGCCUUCGGGUUGUAAACCUCUUUUAGCAGGGAAGAAGCGAAAGUGACGGUACCUGCAGAAAAAGCACCGGCUAACUACGUGCCAGCAGCCGCGGUAAUACGUAGGGUGCAAGCGUUAUCCGGAAUUAUUGGGCGUAAAGAGCUCGUAGGCGGUCUGUCGCGUCUGCUGUGAAAACUGGAGGCUCAACCUCCAGCCUGCAGUGGGUACGGGCAGACUAGAGUGCGGUAGGGGAGAUUGGAAUUCCUGGUGUAGCGGUGGAAUGCGCAGAUAUCAGGAGGAACACCGAUGGCGAAGGCAGAUCUCUGGGCCGUAACUGACGCUGAGGAGCGAAAGCGUGGGGAGCGAACAGGAUUAGAUACCCUUGUAGUCC